AAGGACAUAAAUGAUGAGGAGAGUUUCUUGGGAGCUUUCCAAUAUGAAGAAGAUGGCAGCAGGAUACAAACCUUCAAACUUCCUGAUUAUAAAACUGACUCCUUCACCCAUGUGAGCCUACAGCCAGUCAGCCUCGGCAGAUGGCUGUUCAUCCUGAGCCUGGUUCUGCUGGAGGUUUCUUCCUUUUAAAGGGAGUUAUCCUCUCCACUGUUGCCUUGUGCUUGCUCAGGAUGGGGGAUCCCUUGGAUUAAACAUCCAUCGCGAUCGGCUGGUGACCCCUCCACAGAAU
Long non-coding RNA from Xiphophorus hellerii (green swordtail), 289 nucleotides. RefSeq lists it as uncharacterized. NCBI's taxonomy places the organism in Eukaryota, Metazoa, Chordata, Actinopteri, Cyprinodontiformes, Poeciliidae. The transcript is spliced from 3 exons. The record is from RefSeq and is a predicted model, not a curated record.